UUUAAUUAAAUUAAGAUGAUACAGGAUGAUGAUUAAAAGAAAAGACAACACCAAUACAAAGCAUUCUGGAUGUUUUUGUUUAUUCAUCGGGCUUUACAAAUUAUUGCUCUUUACUGACAGAGAAGAUAAAUCAACAACCUCUCUACUAAGCAUGAUUUAUUUCAAUAUGAGAAACACAUUUUUAACUUUAUUUCCUUUGCCAUUUGCUGUGCACUGUUCAAAAGCAAGACUGCACAAACACAUGUAUAUGAUUGGACAAGUAUAUGGAUGGCAGGACGAUAUGAACUGGAGUUAUAGAUGCUUAGGAAGAAAACAUAUAAUGCAGAAAUGUAUGCAGAUCGAAUCUUAAUGAUGAGGAGAAACAUGCAUACAAAACUGUGUCAUCUGCAUAAAAAUGUAUGUAAUAAGUUAAUUCAUAUCACUGAGUAAUGUGUGCUCUUUUGUUAUUGAUAUGGAUUGUUUGGGAUGAGAGCCCAGUCUGACCUGCUGGAAGUCUCUCUGGUUUUCAUUGUAUUCUGUAACCUGAAUUCCUGGAAUUUAAUUCGUAUUACCACUUUAUACUUUAUAACGUACUUUAUUUUGAUAUGUAGGCAUUCUGUGUUGUUGUUGUAUUUAGACAGGAUUGCACAAUUUGACAGUUAAAACCAAACAACUAAGAAAAUCGGCCAAUGCUUUUAAACACAAACUGCUGGUCAUGUUUCAUAGACAUAUCAAAGGAUCUGGAAAAUAAAACACUCUUAGUCGAUGUGUUUGCUUUUAAAUUUAUUGUUUUUACAUUUCAGAGACUUUACACAUAUCUGAUUACUCAUCUUAAAGGUAUAUUGAGAUUUUGUUGCAUGUCAGAUUUUUUUGUAAUAAUGUUUUUUAUGCUUCCUUCACUGUCUUUAGAAAGUGAUCAACCUGAGUAAAUAAAGGGAAAUUAAAAGUAAUCAACAUCUCCCUUUUUCAGGAAGGUUGAACGGUCAGUGUGAAGGAAGGGAGGAUUAUUAUUUCAGCCUUGGAGUGUUGCAAAA
Molecule: long non-coding RNA, 1013 nt
Organism: Larimichthys crocea (large yellow croaker)
Lineage: Eukaryota; Metazoa; Chordata; Actinopteri; Sciaenidae
Exons: 2
Source: RefSeq, a predicted model, not a curated record